GGUUGACGAAUUAUUGUGAAAAGAGAACAUGGUGUUCGUUAUUCUCGUCACGUUCCUUUGCUGUAUAACAAGGAUUGUUGCAGAAUUAGACUGUGACCUCGACGUGUGUGGUUCGAGGUACUGUCCGCCAAAAUAUUACAACACAGCAAAGGAAACAAAAACAAAAGGAGACUUGGUGUGUGAAUGUCUAGUUUGUGUCAAGAAGCCAACAACUCCACCUCCAUGGUAUGUCAACAUAUGGAAUAAACUGGGAAAAUGAAGACUAUUUGCCUAUAUGUACAUUUCAGACCUCUCGCAUUGGUGGCUCGACAACUCUGCGAUGCGACUUAAACUGAGUUUAAACUAGCGUGGAAUCAAAUUAAAAUAAAAGUAGCAUAUGGAG
Molecule: long non-coding RNA, 382 nt
Organism: Stylophora pistillata
Lineage: Eukaryota; Metazoa; Cnidaria; Anthozoa; Scleractinia; Pocilloporidae
Source: RefSeq, a predicted model, not a curated record